This 458-nucleotide ribosomal RNA is filed under the name uncultured bacterium. RNAcentral's name for it is "partial 16S ribosomal RNA". It matches the Rfam family "Bacterial small subunit ribosomal RNA", at positions 338 to 795 of the family's 1533-position model. The record is from RNAcentral.
CCUACGGGAGGCAGCAGUGGGGGAUAUUGGUCAAUGGCCGGAAGGCUGAACCAGCCAAGCCGCGUGAAGGACGAAGGUGCCAAGCAUUGUAAACUUCUUUUGUCAAGGGACAAAAUCAGGCUCGAGAGCCUGACCGAGGGUACUUGAAGAAAAAGCAUCGGCUAACUCCGUGCCAGCAGCCGCGGUAAUACGGAGGAUGCGAGCGUUAUCCGGAUUUAUUGGGUUUAAAGGGUGCGUAGGCGGACUGUUAAGUCAGCGGUAAAAGCCCGGGGCUCAACCCCGGCGAGCCGUUGAAACUGGCUGUCUUGAGAUGUCGAGAGGUAUGCGGAAUGCGCAGUGUAGCGGUGAAAUGCUUAGAUAUCACGCAGAACCCCGAUUGCGAAGGCAGCAUGCCGGCUUCCGACUGACGCUGAAGCACGAAAGCGUGGGAUCGAACAGGAUUAGAUACCCUUGUAGUC